AUCAACUUUCGAUGGUAGGAUAGAGGCCUACCAUGGUGGUGACGGGUGACGGAGAAUUAGGGUUCGAUUCCGGAGAGGGAGCCUGAGAAACGGCUACCACAUCCAAGGAUGGCAGCAGGCGCGCAAAUUACCCAAUCCCGACACGGGGAGGUAGUGACAAUAAAUAACAAUACGGGGUUCUUUCGGAUCUCGUAAUUGGAAUGAGUACAAUUUAAAUCUCUUAACGAGGAACAAUUGGAGGGCAAGUCUGGUGCCAGCAGCCGCGGUAAUUCCAGCUCCAAUAGCGUAUAUUAAAGUUGUUGCAGUUAAAAAGCUCGUAGUUGAAUUUCGGGGUCAGUAGGUUGGUCGUGCCACUGGUACGUACUGGUCUCACUGAUUCCUCCUUCCUGAUGAACCGUAAUGCCAUUAAUUUGGUGUUGCGGGGAGACUGGACUGUUACUUUGAAAAAAUUAGAGUGUUUAAAGCAGGCUAACGCUUGAAUACAUUAGCAUGGAAUAAUGAAAUAGGACGUUCGAUCCUAUUUUGUUGGUUUCUAGGAUUGACGUAAUGAUUAAUAGGGAUAGUUGGGGGCAUUAGUAUUCAAUUGUCAGAGGUGAAAUUCUUGGAUUUAUUGAAGACUAACUACUGCGAAAGCAUUUGCCAAGGAUGUUUUCAUUAAUCAAGAACGAAAGUUAGGGGAUCGAAGAUGAUCAGAUACCGUCGUAGUCUUAACCAUAAACUAUGCCGACUAGGGAUUGGAUGAUGUUAAUUUUUUAAUGACUCAUUCGGCACCUUACGGGAAACCAAAGUGUUUGGGUUC
Molecule: ribosomal RNA, 799 nt
Filed under: uncultured Glomus
Lineage: Eukaryota; Fungi; Glomeromycota; Glomeromycetes; Glomerales; Glomeraceae
Description: SSU rRNA
Rfam family: Eukaryotic small subunit ribosomal RNA
Source: RNAcentral